UUGAUUUGAAGUGAAUUUGAAGUUUGACCUUUCUUUAUUAUUUUAAUUCAGGUUUUAUUUUAAAUAUUAAAAAAUUCCAAAAAUAUUUUGUUUAUUUCUUGACUUCUAAUUCUCAUUUUGCUUCUGUUUUAUAUUGUUUGACCUUGAUCUCCUCUAGCUUUGGUCAAUGCUUGUUGAUUAAUACAUUCUAUUUCACUUAAUGCACU
This 206-nucleotide long non-coding RNA is filed under the name Lathyrus oleraceus (garden pea). RNAcentral's name for it is "Pisum sativum (pea) long non-coding RNA (PSAT_LNC017373)". The record is from RNAcentral. Lineage: Eukaryota; Viridiplantae; Streptophyta; Magnoliopsida; Fabales; Fabaceae.